CCAGGAGUGCCCUGACCCGUUCACAAAGGGAUCUUCACAGUAAAAUUAGAUCUCUUUUAUUUUUCCUCCUUUGUUUAAAAAAAAUAGCAUUCAGCUUUCAAAACAAAUGAACUGUUCAGAAACAAAAAUAUAACAUCAAAUUCUUGCUUUUUAAUAAAGGGUUUUACUUCUCUUUCAACUUGCGUAUAUCUGACAACAUCUAACACUGAAUUACUUUAAAGGCUUGUGCUUUAGAAACAAAGUCCAAAGACUUUCAAGCUACCUGUUUUUUGGCUUAUUUACAACUUAACAUUUUCUUCCCGAACCUCCAGCUCACAAUUGUUCAUGGCAAUGGAUAUGCUGAGGUAGGACUGCAGUGUGGGGUCACGGGUGGGUAACAAAACAGGGUUGGGGGACGUGCUGCUCUACCACAGCAACACCGUUCUAACUACUGAAGAUGCACCUGAUGAAGCAGACCCAACAAACAGAAACCAUUGGGCAACCCUUUCCUCUAUGGCUGCAGCUUGAAUAAAAGGCAGGGUACUAACCACGGGUGACACCAACACGCAUGUCACAGCAGACUGUCGUUCUGGACGUCCAGGGCUGCCAGUUUUACUGGAGGUUCAAGCACCAGACAGGACUCUGCUAACGCCUCUUCAGCCAGUGAGGGAGUUUGGAGAGACUAGGCAUGAAGACAUUUUGUGUGGAGUGAGCAGGAUGGAGCUUCUCUUGUAAGUAGCGGAUGGAUAAAUUGUUCAAUUGGCAGUGAUGGUGUCUGGAGAACAUGUGACUUCAAUCAAACGAUAAGGAGUAAUAAGAGUUGCAGAAAGUUAAUGAGACCUGAGCAGCAGCAUAAUGACAGUUAACUGGAGAGAAAAGAUCCCUGAGAGCAAAGCAGAACUGAGUACCACAGACGAAGGUUUUGUAUCUUCCUGGAUUCCUAUAAAUCCCUUUCUUUUUGGAUUUACACUUGACUAAGUAGUCAUUUGGUUAUUUCACAUUUCAAAGCUUUCUCAGAUGAAGGUUUUGUAUCUUCCUCUCAAACUGGUCUGAUAAAAUGACCUUGGAAGGAGAAACUGUACUGACAGAGGCCCUCCUUAAACAGGCCUUCAGCGCUGGCACCACUCCAGCGAGCCCCUUGUGAGAGAUCAACUCAUUUGGGAGAGGAAAGAAAGGUGUGGUAGCAAUGCUGUAACUGGAUCCUCCACCAAGUACGCCAGUAUCAUUUAAGCAAUGAUUCCAGAUUUUGCCACACUACUGCAACACUACACUUUCUGAAGGGAAAAAUGCAGUUCCGUCUUGCAGAUGUCUGCAUUCCCACUGAGGUCAGCAGAAAUCCAGCUCAUCUUCUAAGGAAGGAUAUAUCAAAACCACCACGUCUCAGUGAUGGAAAGCCCAGCAUGCUGAUUAAACAUUUGAUCCAAAAUUCAAAGUUCAA
This is a long non-coding RNA of Strigops habroptila (Kakapo), 1417 nucleotides long. RefSeq lists it as uncharacterized. The transcript is spliced from 2 exons. The record is from RefSeq and is a predicted model, not a curated record. NCBI's taxonomy places the organism in Eukaryota, Metazoa, Chordata, Aves, Psittaciformes, Psittacidae.